Molecule: ribosomal RNA, 673 nt
Filed under: halophilic archaeon
Lineage: Archaea; Methanobacteriati; Methanobacteriota; Halobacteria; Halobacteriales
Description: bacterial SSU rRNA
Rfam family: Archaeal small subunit ribosomal RNA
Source: RNAcentral
CCCUGUUGAGGGCGAUAACCUCGGGAAACUGAGGCUAAUAGCCCAUACGGCUCGAUGCCUGGAACUGGCUCGAGCUCGAAAUGCUCAGGCGCGACAGGAUGUGGCUGCGGCCGAUUAGGUAGACGGUGGGGUAACGGCCCACCGUGCCGAUAAUCGGUACGGGUUGUGAGAGCAAGAGCCCGGAGACGGAAUCUGAGACAAGAUUCCGGGCCCUACGGGGCGCAGCAGGCGCGAAACCUUUACACUGCACGACAGUGCGAUAAGGGGACUCCAAGUGCGAGGGCAUAUAGUCCUCGCUUUUGUGUACCGUAAGGUGGUACACGAAUAAGGGCUGGGCAAGACCGGUGCCAGCCGCCGCGGUAAUACCGGCAGCCCAAGUGAUGACCGCUAUUAUUGGGCCUAAAGCGUCCGUAGCUGGCCGUACAAGUCCGUCGGGAAAUCUACUCGCUUAACGAGUAGACGUCCGGCGGAAACUGUUCGGCUAGGGACCGGAAGACCUGAGGGGUACGUCUGGGGUAGGAGUGAAAUCCCGUAAUCCUGGACGGACCACCGGUGGCGAAAGCGCCUCAGGAAGACGGAUCCGACAGUGAGGGACGAAAGCUCGGGUCACGAACCGGAUUAGAUACCCGGGUAGUCCGAGCCGUAAACGAUGUCUGCUAGGUGUGACGCUGGC